CAGGUGCUGCAUGGCUGUCGUCAGCUCGUGUUGUGAAAUGUUGGGUUAAGUCCCGCAACGAGCGCAACCCUUAUCCUUUGUUGCCAGCGAUUCGGUCGGGAACUCAAAGGAGACUGCCGGUGAUAAACCGGAGGAAGGUGGGGAUGACGUCAAGUCAUCAUGGCCCUUACGAGUAGGGCUACACACGUGCUACAAUGGCGCAUACAAAGAGAAGCGACCUCGCGAGAGCAAGCGGACCUCACAAAGUGCGUCGUAGUCCGGAUCGGAGUCUGCAACUCGACUCCGUGAAGUCGGAAUCGCUAGUAAUCGUGGAUCAGAAUGCCACGGUGAAUACGUUCCCGGGCCUUGUACACACCGCCCGUCACACCAUGGGAGUGGGUUGCAAAAGAAGUAG
This 394-nucleotide ribosomal RNA is filed under the name Pantoea sp. RNAcentral's name for it is "bacterial SSU rRNA". It matches the Rfam family "Bacterial small subunit ribosomal RNA", at positions 1035 to 1429 of the family's 1533-position model. Lineage: Bacteria; Pseudomonadati; Pseudomonadota; Gammaproteobacteria; Enterobacterales; Erwiniaceae. The record is from RNAcentral.